AGAGUUUGAUCCUGGCUCAGAUUGAACGCUGGCGGAAUGCUUUACACAUGCAAGUCGAGCGGCAGCGCGGGGCAACCUGGCGGCGAGCGGCGAACGGGUGAGUAAUGCAUCGGAACGUACCCAUUUGUGGGGGAUAACUAUCCGAAAGGAUAGCUAAUACCGCAUAAGUCCUGAGGGAGAAAGCAGGGGAUCGCAAGACCUUGCGCGAAUGGAGCGGCCGAUGCCGGAUUAGCUAGUUGGUAGGGUAAAGGCCUACCAAGGCGACGAUCCGUAGCGGGUCUGAGAGGAUGAUCCGCCACACUGGGACUGAGACACGGCCCAGACUCCUACGGGAGGCAGCAGUGGGGAAUAUUGCGCAAUGGGCGAAAGCCUGACGCAGCGACGCCGCGUGGGUGAUGAAGGCCUUCGGGUCGUAAAACCCUGUCGGGUGGAACGAAUCUCCUUUUCUCUAAUACAGGAGAGGAUUGACGGUACCACCGAAGGAAGCCCCGGCUAACUACGUGCCAGCAGCCGCGGUAAUACGUAGGGGGCGAGCGUUGUUCGGAUUUACUGGGCGUAAAGAGCGCGUAGGUGGUUCGAUGAGUCGGAUGUGAAAUCCCUCGGCUCAACCGAGGACCCGCGUCCGAUACUGUCGAACUUGAGUGCAGGAGAGGAGAGCGGAAUUCCCAGUGUAGCGGUGAAAUGCGUAGAUAUUGGGAGGAACACCGGUGGCGAAGGCGGCUCUCUGGACUGUCACUGACACUGAGGCGCGAAAGCUAGGGGAGCAAACGGGGUUAGAUACCCCGGUAGUCCUAGCCGUAAACGAUGGGCACUAGGUGUGGGAGGUAUCGACCCCUUCCGUGCCGCAGCUAACGCAUUAAGUGCCCCGCCUGGGGAGUACGGCCGCAAGGUUGAAACUCAAAGGAAUUGACGG
RNAcentral lists this ribosomal RNA (913 nucleotides) under uncultured bacterium. Its description in RNAcentral is "bacterial SSU rRNA". It matches the Rfam family "Bacterial small subunit ribosomal RNA", at positions 8 to 916 of the family's 1533-position model. The record is from RNAcentral.